GUGAGUGAGAGAGACAGCGAGCGAAUGAGUGAGAGAGACAGCGAGCGAAUGAGUGAGAGAGACAGCGAGCGAGUGAGUGAGAGAGACAGCGAGCGAAUGAGUGAGAGAGACAGCGAGUGAGUGAGAGAGACAGCGAGCGAGUGAGUGAGAGAGACAGCGAGCGAGUGAGUGAGAGAGACAGCGAGCGAGUGAGUGAGAGAGACAGCGAGCGAGUGAGUGAGAGAGACAGCGAGCGAGUGAGUGAGAGAGACAGCGAGCGAAUGAGAGAGACAGCGAGCGAGUGAGACAGAGCAAGUGAGUGAGAGAGACAGCGAGCGAGUGAGAGAGAGAGACAGCGAGCGAGUGAGGUGAGAGAGACAGCGAGCGAGCGAGUGAGUGAGACAGCGAGCGAGCGAGUGAGUGAGACAGCGAGCGAGCGAGUGAG
Molecule: long non-coding RNA, 424 nt
Organism: Ictalurus punctatus (channel catfish)
Lineage: Eukaryota; Metazoa; Chordata; Actinopteri; Siluriformes; Ictaluridae
Source: Ensembl